UGUCAAGUAUCAUUCAUGACAAAUGAAUUUGUUAGUCAUAGAAUUGUAUGCACCAAAAUAUUCAGAUAAUAUUGUAAGAUACCUAUUAGAAAUGUGUCCGUGAUAUCUGUGAUACUAAAUGUUAAUAUCUUUUAAUAUCAUGAAAUAUUAACACUUAAGAGAAUAUAGUUAAUAUAAGAAAAAUAUGGCGUUGUACGAGGGAAUCGCGUUAAUACAAGAGAAACAGGCCGUCGUGUUGGACCUCGGCACUGAUUACACUAAGUUCGGCUUCACGGGCGAGGCGGCGCCGCGCUGCAUCGUGCGCUCGCAGUUCUGGUGCGCGCGCGAGCGACGCCUGCGCCGCGUGCACGACUACCGCUCGCCCGACGAGCUCUACGACAACCUCGUGCAGAUGCUGCAUCUGCUCUACUUCAGACACGUGCUGGUGAACCCUAAGGAGCGCAAGGUGGUGGUGGUGGAGUCGCUGCUCACUCCCACGCUGUUCCGCGAGACGCUCGCCAAGGUGCUGUUCACGCACUACGAGGUGUCGGGCGUGAUCUGGGCGGACCGGCCGCGGCUGAGCGCGCUGACGCUGGGCGCGGCGGCGGCGCUGGUGGUGGCGCUGGGCGCGCGCGAGGCGGAGGUGGCGCCCGUGCUGCACGCCGCGCUGCUGCUGCCGGCGCUGCAGGCGCAGCCGCUGGGUGCCCGUGCGGUGCACGCCGAGCUGGCGCGUCUGCUGGACGAGCACCACGGCGCGCCGCUCGCGCUCUCCGACGAGGAGCUCGAGGAUAUCAAAGUGAAGACGUGCUUCGUGAUCCCCCGGGCGCGCGCGCUGCAGUGGCAGUCGGGCAGCCCGCCGGCCGCCGCGCGGGACGUGGCGUGCGGUCGCGUGCUGGUGCCGGGGCGCGUGCGCGAGCUGGCAGCUGAGGCGCUGUUCGCGCGCGACGCGGAGCUGGGCUCGCUGGGCGACGCCGUGCUGCAGUGCCUGGCGCGCUGCCCGCGGGACGCGCGGCGGCCGCUGGCGGAGAGCAUCGUGCUGACGGGCGGCGGCGCGGCGCUGCCGGGGUUGCGCGCGCGGCUGGCGGCGGAGCUGCGGGCGCUGGUGGCGGAGGAGCCGUACGCGUCGCGCCUGCACGUGCGCACGUUCAAGUUCCACACGGCACCGGCGCAGCCCAACAGCGUGGCGUGGCUGGGCGGCGCGCUGCUGGGCGCGGGCGAGGCGGGCGCGGCGCGGGCGCAGGCGCGGGAGCAGUACGCGCGGGAGCCGCGGCUGCGCGACUGGGUGUGUCUGCUGGACAACACGCCGCCCGCGCACCCGCAGCGCCUCGCCGCCGACAUGUAACCGCCCGGCUGCACAGACCAAAGUGGAGCUACACUUAGCUCUACCCAGCUCAAGCUAGGUGUAGCUUGCCAAAUAUGGCUGCAUGUAUGCUUUUUUCGGUUACAACUGUCGGUAAAGCUAUAUAUAACCUUCAUCAUAUGGACUAGAACUAGGUGCAGCCGCAGUUAGGUGUAUACUAUUCAUCACAGUGAUGGAUCUUCGGCAAUGUCACUGUGGGUGACUCACAACCCUGAUGAACUCGUGACGUCACACUAUUUCGUCUUUAGAUUCUCCCCAUAUGACCUCCUCCUCUAUAAUAUCUGUUAAUUUUUUUUCCCCUAUGGAUGUACUUACAUUAUGUACUAUACUCUAUCCACGGAAGCAAGAGCUAAAAGGUAAACAAAGAAUGACAGUUUUUCAAGAUGGCGGUAUAACCCGACCGAUGACAAAACGUCACAUUUUUGUGUAAAAUGUUCGCAGUAUCUGUGAUUUUGUCAUCGGUCGGGUUAUACCGCCAUCUUGAAAAAGUGUCAUUCUUUGUUUACCUUUUAGCUCUUGCUUCCGUGGAUAGGGUAUAGCCCUACUAAUUCUCCGUUAUAUUAUCCUCAUAAACGCGCUUACGUAUUUCCUCUACAUACACCUUUAUAUACUUUAUUAUUUAUAUAGUUCUUUACGUACCCUUGUAUACUUCCUUAUGUAUUCCCC
Molecule: unclassified non-coding RNA, 2005 nt
Filed under: Helicoverpa zea (corn earworm)
Lineage: Eukaryota; Metazoa; Arthropoda; Insecta; Lepidoptera; Noctuidae
Description: actin-related protein 10, transcript variant X2
Source: RNAcentral